UUUUCAGAAUGAAGGAACUUGUUAUCCUUGCUGCUUUUUGUCUGAGCGUUGUUUGUGCCGGACCAUGGUUAGAUGGACAUUAUAACAACCAUCAACUAUACGGUUCAUACGACUUUGGCAGUCCAUACCAAUAUCGUAAUUAUAACCCAUUCCAAUACCAAUACUAUGGUUACCCAUACGACAACUACCAACUCACACUCAACCCAUAUGACAAUGAUUACGAUUAUAGGAGACCACUCUUUACCAGAUCUUUUAACUGAAAUCAAAGGAUUUUCAACACGAAUAAACUAAUGAUUAAAAAGGAUGUGAAUUUGUAGCUUGAAAUAAUCUAAUAAAUUUUUAUUCAGAU
Magallana angulata is the source of this 349-nucleotide long non-coding RNA. RefSeq lists it as uncharacterized. The transcript has 3 exons. The record is from RefSeq and is a predicted model, not a curated record. NCBI's taxonomy places the organism in Eukaryota, Metazoa, Mollusca, Bivalvia, Ostreida, Ostreidae.